UUGAGCUUUAGCUGUCUUCUAACAGGAAUCCAUCACUUGAAGAUCAAGCUUGUGACCGAAUUUACCGAGUAGGGCAGCAGAAAGAUGUUGUCAUACACAGAUUUGUUUGUGAGGGAACAGUAGAAGAAAAGAUCUUACAGCUCCAAGAAAAAAAGAAAGAUUUGGCCAAACAAGUUCUAUCAGGGUCUGGAGAAUCUGUCACCAAGCUCACCUUGGCUGACCUCAGAGUCCUUUUUGGCAUCUAACCUCCUGUGGAUAAGGGCUCAGAAUAGCACCAUUGCUGGUUUGUAUUAGGAUCUGGGAAUAACAACCUAACCAUAAGCCUUGAACUCUGUUCUUUGCAUUUCAAUUUCACCGUCAAGCCUUUCACCUUCCUCAAAAUGAGGCAUAAUCUUAUCCCCAGAAUUGAGGAGGGGUUAUGUUAACCAAUUAGUUAACCAAUUAUGUUAAUAAUUUAUUUAAUGAGUGAUAUGGAAACCAAUUGAUUUUUUUAGAUAAAAGAAUAUGUUUUAGAGUUGGAUGAUUUUGGAAAACAACUCUGGCAGAAUUGUAUAUAAGCUUCAGUAAAGUUCAAAAAGCGGGCCAGGUGUGGUGGCUCAUGCCUGUAAUCCCGACACUUUGGGAGGCCAAGACAGGAGGAUGGCUUGAAGCCAGUAGUUCAAGACCAGCCUGGGCAACACAGUAAGACCCCAUCUCUAUGAAGAAUAAAAAAAUGAGCUAGGCGUGGUAGUGCACACCUGUAGUCCUAGCUACUUGGGAGGCUGAGGCAGGAGGAUCCCUUGAGUCCAGCAGGUUGAGGCUGCAGUGAGCUGUGAUUGUGCCACUGUUUUCCAGCCUGGGCAAUAUAGUGAGACCCUGUCUCAAAAAAAGGAAAAAAAAGCUCAAAAAGUUCUGUGUUGCCUUUCUCUUCUUCGCUGAUGAUGGGAGAACCAGUUGCUACCUUCUCUAACACAGGCUCCAUCCUAUCUCUUCAUCUCUUCUUGCCAGUGAUGUUGCUCCUGUAACCAUCUUUUUAUGGGUGGAGCAGAGAGUCAAUCCCUGCAGCCAG
RNAcentral lists this long non-coding RNA (1048 nucleotides) under Pan troglodytes (chimpanzee). RNAcentral's name for it is "long non-coding RNA NONPTRT001230". The record is from RNAcentral. Lineage: Eukaryota; Metazoa; Chordata; Mammalia; Primates; Hominidae.